GUUCGAGCGUCAUUUAAACCAAUCCAGCUUGCUGGGUCUUGGGCCUUUCGCCUCCGGGCGGGCCCCAAAAUCAGUGGCGGUGCUGUCUAGCUCUAAGCGUAGUAAUAUUUCUCGCUAUAGACACUAGGUGGUUGCCUGCCAACAACCCUUAUUUUUCAAAGGUUGACCUCGGAUCAGGUAGGGAUACCCGCUGAACUUAA
Molecule: unclassified non-coding RNA, 200 nt
Filed under: soil metagenome
Description: partial contains internal transcribed spacer 2 and large subunit ribosomal RNA
Source: RNAcentral